This is a long non-coding RNA of Oryza brachyantha (malo sina), 1009 nucleotides long. RefSeq lists it as uncharacterized. The record is from RefSeq and is a predicted model, not a curated record. The transcript is spliced from 3 exons. Lineage: Eukaryota; Viridiplantae; Streptophyta; Magnoliopsida; Poales; Poaceae.
UAAGCCUUCGAAUGAGGAUUAGGUUGGUCGGGCAGCACAGGAUGCCGCCGCCGCCACCAUCAGGAGGCCAUCCCGCGCCGCCGUGCGCCGGUCCCGUCGCCGUCUGGUCACCGGUUCACAGCCGCUCCCCCAUCGACGCUGACGCCAUGAGAUGGUGCUCCCGCGUGGACUCCCGUUGGUCCGAUCGCCCGACGACCGUCGGUCCGUAGCAGCCGUCGCAAGCUGCUCCCCCAUCAACGGCGUCGCCGUCAGACGCCGCACCCGCGUCGACUCCGAUUGACUCACUCGCCGCCGCCGGACACCCACCUAUUCAGCUAUCGCGUCGCGCGGCUCUGCAACGCCAUCGUGGUGCCCGUGGGAUACCGGCUCGCCCCGGAGAGCAGGUACCCCGCCGCGUUCGAGGACGGGGUCACGGUGCUCAAAUGGAUCGCCACGCAGGCCAACCUCGCCGCGUGCGGGCGGACGAUGGCGAGGGGGGGCGGGCUCCGGCGGGGCCGAUUCGUUCGGCGCGGCCAUGGUCGAGGCGUGGAUAGCUGCCAACGCUGAUCCAUCCAGCUCGCUCGUCUUGCUGAAAUGGAGGUAAAGUACAGAUGUAACCAAUCCUAGAAAUUGGCCUCCCACUGGGAGGACUAGCAAAAUUGUUUGCUCAGGCUCGGAGGGUGAUGUCACCAUGGUUAUGCCAGCAACAACAGCCCAGCAAAAGAACAUCGUCAACCUUUCUCAGAGAUCCAAAAUAGUUGCACGUCCUGCAUUUCUACCCUACUUUCUGCUUGUUCCAAUUAUUCAGGAGUUUAAGGAGACCGUGUCUUGCAUUUUGUAAACAAAUUAGGUAAAGCAGCUGGCUGUAUUUGUUGGCUUGUGCACAUUUGGUUUUCGAAUUGUAUUUGUGUAACCAAUCCAUGUUGGUUGUAAUUACUUUAUGAUGUAUAUAUGAUGUUUGGCUCAACAAACAAGAUUGUGCUGCUGCUGUAAAUUAUUUCUGCAGAUUGUGUGAUGAAAUGCGUGAUAG